CCCUACGGGGCGCAGCAGUAGGGAAUUUUCGUCAAUGGGCGCAAGCCUGAACGAGCAAUGCCGCGUGAACGAGGAAGGUCUUCGGAUCGUAAAGUUCUGUUGAAGGGGAAAAAGAGCGGAGAGAGGAAAUGAACUCCGAUUGAUAUUACCCUUCGAGGAAGUCACGGCUAAAUACGUGCCAGCAGCCGCGGUAAUACGUAUGGGGCAAGCGUUAUCCGGAUUUACUGGGUGUAAAGGGAGCGCAGGCGGCUUGGCAAGUCUGAUGUGAAAGGCUGGGGCUCAACCCCAGGACUGCAUUGGAAACU
Molecule: ribosomal RNA, 305 nt
Filed under: uncultured bacterium
Lineage: Bacteria
Description: bacterial SSU rRNA
Rfam family: Bacterial small subunit ribosomal RNA
Source: RNAcentral